UAGCUUGUGAUGGGAGGGUAUCCUUGCUGUGUCUGAUGAUGGGAACAGGAGGCUAUCAGGCGUUUUCUGGAAGGUCAUAGGAAGACAUUGAACGCUGGUCAGGGAAAGAUUGCCCGGGGAUUCAGCGUGGAGAGUCCUGGGCUUGUGAUGGGAGGGUAUCCUUGCUGUGUCUGAUGGUGGGAACAGGAGGCUAGCAGGCGUUUUCUGGACGGUCAUAGGAAGACAUUGAACGCUGGUCAGGGAAAGAUUGCCCGGGGAUACAGCGUGGAGAGUCCUAGGCUUGUGAUGGGAGGGUAUCCUUGCUGUGUCUGAUGGUGGGAACAGGAGGCGAGCAGGCGUUUUCUGGACGGUCAUAGGAAGACAUUGAACGCUGGUCAGGGAGUCAUUGCCGGGGGAUACAGCGUGGAGAGUCCUAGGCUUGUGAUGGGAGGGUAUCCUUGCUGUGUCUAUUGGUGGGAACAGGAGGCUAGCAGGCGUUUUCUGGAAGGUCAUAGGAAGACAUUGAACGCUGGUCAGGGAAUCAUUGCCGGGGGAUACAGCGUGGAGAGUCCUAGGCUUGUGAUGGGAGGGUAUCCUUGCUGUGUUUCAUGGUGGGAACAGGAGGCGAGCAGGCGUUUUCUGGAAGGUCAUAGGAAGACAUUGAACGCUGGUCAGGGUAAGAUUGCCCGGGGAUACAGCGUGGAGAGUCCUAGGCUUGUGAUGGGAGGGUAUCCUUGCUGUGUUUCAUGGUGGGAACAGGAGGCGAGCAGGCGUUUUCUGGACGGUCAUAGGAAGACAUUGAACGCUGGUCAGGGAAUCAUUGCCGGGGGAUACAGCGUGGAGAGUCCUAGGCUUGUGAUGGGAGGGUAUCCUUGCUGUGUUUCAUGGUGGGAACAGGAGGCGAGCAGGGGUUUUCUGGAAGGUCAUAGGAAGACAUUGAACGCUGGUCAGGGAAAGAUUGCCGGGGGAUACAGCGUGGAGGGUCCUGGGCUUGUGAUGGGAGGGUAUCCUUGCUGUGACAGAGGGACUAAUCGGCGUAUCCUGGCUAAGCAAUCCUAAGGUCACCGUCAUCGACAGAGACGUGAGGGACUUGGCAAAGGUCAGCGGGUGUGUUCUGGCUAAUGGGUAUCAAGGUCAGGGUCAGGAGGGACGGGCACGCUCGGGUCAUUCCCACACAGAAAGUUGUAAUGGUAGAUGGCGCGGCCUUUCCCAGGGUAUUCGAGUAGACCGUCGCUCCUAUUAUAUAAACAGCUGAUGGUUUUGGGCGCGGCCUUUCCUAGGGUACUCAAGCAGACCGGCCUUUCCCAGGGUACUCAUGCUUCAGGUCGGGGUCGAUUCUAUAUGCAGACAUAAGUAAAGGGAGUGGGCGCGGCCUUUCCCAGGGUACUCAAUCUUAUAUACAUAGGUACAGGUAUUGGGGGCGGCCUUUCCCAGGGUACUCAAGCAGGCCGGCCUUUCCCAGGGUACUCGUGCAAAAUCUCCGUAGGCAAACCGUCACUAAACUAUCCCCGCGAAGCGCUGACUAUCCCUCGACUAUCCCCCAAGCCACAAAACCAACACACGAACACACACACAUAAAGCCUGCCACGAGUACUAUCAUAACUAUCAGCGCACAGAUAGUCGCGGAAUAGUCACAGAAGCGAAGCCAGAUCACACAGACAGACUAUCCGUGGACUAUCCUAGACUAUCCUUUCCGCGCCAAAGCAACACAGAGGAAGCGGAUAGUACCGAGCGAGGCACUAUUGUGGGUACUAUUUUCGGUACUAUUCUGACUAUUCUUAAGUAAGGGAAGCUGCCACACGGAGAAAGCCUGGCUAGUGACUAUUUAGGCGAAUGGUCGACUAUUUUCAGACUAGCGACAUGGAGCGAACGGAACAGACGAACGAAAAAUAGGAAAAUUAAUAGGAAAAAAAUAGGAAAAUAGUAUUGAUAGUACAAACAUAAUAGUAGGAAAUAGUUCAAAAAAUAGUUAAGUUAUCGUUCGAAAAUAUUAAAAAAAAAAUGUGUGUGAAAAAUGUCGAAAAAUGUCAAAAAAUGUCGAAAAA
Molecule: long non-coding RNA, 2024 nt
Organism: Eriocheir sinensis (Chinese mitten crab)
Lineage: Eukaryota; Metazoa; Arthropoda; Malacostraca; Decapoda; Varunidae
Exons: 3
Source: RefSeq, a predicted model, not a curated record